RNAcentral lists this ribosomal RNA (549 nucleotides) under uncultured fungus. RNAcentral describes it as "eukaryotic LSU rRNA". The stretch from base 234 to 387 matches the Rfam family "5.8S ribosomal RNA". The record is from RNAcentral. Lineage: Eukaryota; Fungi.
CUUGGUCAUUUAGAGGAAGUAAAAGUCGUAACAAGGUCUCCGUAGGUGAACCUGCGGAGGGAUCAUUACACAAAUAUGAAGGCGGGCUGGAACCUCUCGGGGUUACAGCCUUGCUGAAUUAUUCACCCUUGUCUUUUGCGUACUUCUUGUUUCCUUGGUGGGUUCGCCCACCACUAGGACAAACAUAAACCUUUUGUAAUUGCAAUCAGCGUCAGUAACAAAUUAAUAAUUACAACUUUCAACAACGGAUCUCUUGGUUCUGGCAUCGAUGAAGAACGCAGCGAAAUGCGAUAAGUAGUGUGAAUUGCAGAAUUCAGUGAAUCAUCGAAUCUUUGAACGCACAUUGCGCCCUUUGGUAUUCCAAAGGGCAUGCCUGUUCGAGCGUCAUUUGUACCCUCAAGCUUUGCUUGGUGUUGGGCGUCUUGUCUCUAGCUGCUGGAGACUCGCCUUAAAGUAAUUGGCAGCCGGCCUACUGGUUUCGGAGCGCAGCACAAGUCGCACUCUCUAUCAGCAAAGGUCUAGCAUCCAUUAAGCCUUUUUUUCAACUUU